RNAcentral lists this ribosomal RNA (253 nucleotides) under uncultured bacterium. RNAcentral's name for it is "partial 16S ribosomal RNA". It matches the Rfam family "Bacterial small subunit ribosomal RNA", at positions 524 to 776 of the family's 1533-position model. The record is from RNAcentral.
UACGUAGGUGGCAAGCGUUGUCCGGAUUUACUGGGCGUAAAGGGCGUGCAGGCGGUUUGUUAAGUGCAGGGUGAAAGCUCCCGGCUCAACUGGGAGAGGUCCUUGCAUACUGGCGAACUCGAGGGAGGCAGAGGAAAGUGGAAUUCCCGGUGUAGUGGUGAUAUGCGUAGAUAUCGGGAGGAACACCUGUGGCGAAGGCGACUCACUGGCCCGAUACUGACGCUGAGGCGCGAAAGCGUGGGGAGCAAACAGG